This 399-nucleotide unclassified non-coding RNA is filed under the name Echinophora chrysantha. RNAcentral describes it as "partial external transcribed spacer". The record is from RNAcentral. Lineage: Eukaryota; Viridiplantae; Streptophyta; Magnoliopsida; Apiales; Apiaceae.
CGCAUGAGCAACAGGACAGUUUCCCGUCCUCGAGUCAACACGGGGCACGACAAGCUUUCGUAGGGACAAUUAUUUCGGGGCAAAAAAGGGACAAGGAACCCAACCGAUCAUGUUUCUCCAUACAUGACUUCAAGAGACACUUGGGUGCACGAUUCCCGCUAGCUAAAGUGGCAAAGCAAGGACGGACACCCAUAGGAAUUUCGGGGUCUACUUGGCACAAUACAAUUUGCACAAGAUAGAGUAGGGACCGUGGGACUAGAGAAUUCCGUCAAAAUAGGUAUGCUACACAGAGGGCCAGGCAUACCCGAGGCAAAAGAUUCAGCACACGGGCAGCAUUGAACAGGUGUGAACAAGCGGUUGUCGCUGCCAAGGCAGGGAUCCAACCAACCGGAACAUACC